Non-coding RNA from Parasteatoda tepidariorum (common house spider), 238 nucleotides. Lineage: Eukaryota; Metazoa; Arthropoda; Arachnida; Araneae; Theridiidae. The record is from RefSeq and is a predicted model, not a curated record.
AAUUUCCUUUGUAAUUUUUACAGUACAAGAUGUGGCCUUCUUUCCUGAUAGAGUUGAGUCCUGAUGACGUUGAUUCAGGUGUAUAAUGUGAUACACCAUAAUUCAGGCUUAUUUUUGCAAGAGAGAAGAGAAAGCCCUAAUGGCAACUAAAAUGUGACUAUUUGCUGCUAAGUUCCAUGCGAGGGAAGAGUUCUGGCUUUAAAUGAGCAGUAUAAUGAUGUACACUAUACGUCAGGUA